RNAcentral lists this ribosomal RNA (254 nucleotides) under uncultured bacterium. RNAcentral's name for it is "partial 16S ribosomal RNA". It matches the Rfam family "Bacterial small subunit ribosomal RNA", at positions 524 to 776 of the family's 1533-position model. The record is from RNAcentral.
UACAGAGGUCUCAAGCGUUGUUCGGAUUCAUUGGGCGUAAAGAGCUCGUAGGCGGUUCGGUAAGUCGGGGGUGAAAACUUUGGGCUCAACCCAAAGCGUGCACUCGAUACUGCUGUGACUAGAGUUCGGUAGGGGAGUGGGGAAUUCCUAGUGUAGCGGUGAAAUGCGCAGAUAUUAGGAGGAACACCGGUGGCGAAGGCGCCACUCUGGGCCGAAACUGACGCUGAGGAGCGAAAGCGUGGGUAGCAAACAGG